RNA transcript from Chlorocebus sabaeus (green monkey), 2942 nucleotides. It is a transcript of the gene named gamma-glutamylamine cyclotransferase, with no coding region annotated. Lineage: Eukaryota; Metazoa; Chordata; Mammalia; Primates; Cercopithecidae. The record is from RefSeq and is a predicted model, not a curated record.
GCAGCAGGGGCGUGCGGGCCUCGCGUACCGCCUGCAGGGGGCGCCGCCGGGGGCGGCCUGGGAGCAGAGGCGCGGGCCCGGCCCUGCAUUUCCGCCCAGGCCCGGCCCUCUCCGACGCCCCGGCUGCCGGCAGGACCGAAAACUGGAUAUUUGGUCCCCAUGGACUUUCUGGUCACCCUAUGAGGUGGACUUACUUUGUCUUGAGUCAUGUGGAAGGACUCUGAAGUCACAAGUUUUUAAGACUCUCAGGCUUACUGUGGAUCUGGAUUCUAAAGCAACACUUCCUUGAAGAAACAAGCUUACAGAAAUCUCAGUUCACAGCAACCCAGCGUAACUGAUUAUUUGCUUUAGCCUUCACCCCACGGAGUCAGUGCCACAGGGGUGUGGGGAUUGGGAGGAAGACCACAGAGAAUUCAACUUCAAAAUGUGAAGCCUAAAUCCAGGAAAAGUGUCUUCAUACAUUGAGAAUAUGAUUUAUACCACAUUUCACCACAGUGGAUAUACUCCAGAACUAAGUUUAGUUAUAUCACAGAUCAGCCUGCAUAUGAACAAAGUGCUAAGACUGUAUUUAGCUUCAUUUCUCCCCAGAAAUUACAAGAUUCUGACUAACACUGGAUCCUUUUACUAUUUUUAUAAUUUUCAUCUUUCAGAUUCCUUUCUCUGUAGGACUCCUGCUUUGCUUGGAAAGAGAUGUAAAAGAGUCACAAACUCAAUGCCUUCAGAUGCAGUCUUUGUUACUGAUGAGAUGUUCCUUUUCCUUUUGUAUUUGUUUAUUGUUCUUAAAUCUGUUUGGGGGAUAAGUGACUUAUUGUAAUAGCAAGUAAAAAUAACAACGGGGUAAACUCCUCCAGAGAGGCCUUGGUGCAAAUAGUUGGUUUAGAAAUGACCUUUCUGAAUAUAAAAAGAGAAGGCAGAGCGAGAUUCUCUUUUUAAGAUUACCUUUGAUGUUGUCCUGACCCCGUGAGUGUACCACGCAAACACGCCUUCUUAAAACAACCUCUCAGCUGGCCUGUGCUGUGCCGCACGGGGCGCGUGCCGGGAUGGGGCCCAAGCGGGGUGCAGCACAUGGGUCCAUCAGAAUGAACCGCCUGGCGAGAACCGUAAAAGCUUUUUGAUGCCCCAGAAGAGAAGUCAUUUAAGAAUGUACCCCAGGACUUUCCAAAGCUGAUGAUCAAAACUACUAUUUAUUGGCGUCUCUGGAUUCUUCGGGGGCACAGAGCAGCCAAUGUUUUGUGAGACUUCAGGAACGUGCCCCUACCUGGACCGCAGGGUACAAGCUUGGUUUCACCGUGGGCAUUUAACUAUUCCUCAGCAGUUGUGCGAAACUCCCCUAGAGAGUUUUGAUUUUAAGUUUUUGUGGUUGUUUUCAAGCAGAUAAAUCACAAAGUUGAUGUCUGAGGGCAGGAAUCAAAGACUCUGAAGGCUCGUGGACAGGACAGAGUAGCAGGAUCCCAGCAGCAGCCAGGUUUUCCCACUGCCUGGGUAGGGUGAGGAAAAUGCCAGCAUGGGUGACAGGCAGCUGCCUGUGGGUGGGGCUGGGCUGCCACGGAGCCGGAAGAUGAUCCGCUCCAAUGAGCUCAGGGCUGGUCAGUGCGUGGAACUUCACUCCUUCACUCCGCUGGCUCAGGAACAUUCUCCAGACCACACAGCCAAAUGAAAAAAAAGUUCUCGAAAAACAGCUCACCACAUAAGUGAGAACAGAACAGGUGCUCUCUGGACUUGGCCCGGUGGGACUCCUCAACCCACACACGACAGUAAUGGGAGGGAAUUAGGUGUUAUCUAAUGACCCAGUGAUGGAAAAGUGACCCCCACCCUGGUCUCUAAGCAAAUUAAUUUUAUGACCUCUGCAGUGUGAAACCAUGUCUAACAAGAAAAUUCCUCCCGAAAAUUUAGAAGACAGAAAAGGAGUCACAGCUGACAUGAAAGGGUCAGGAAGAAAGCCACAAGAGCUGGACAAUGAUAAGAAACUCCAGUGGGACUGUUUUUAAAAUUGACACGCAGCUCUUCCAUGGGCCUGAUGAAAGGCUGGGGCUGAGAGUGGUUGCUGCAGGAGGCGGCGGCUAGUCACAGUCCGGGUGAGAGAGGUACAUUAUCACUGGACCUCAUUCAGAAAAGCAUCCUGUAACUGGGCAUGUGUGCCUGCGCCCCAGCACCCCAGAACUCAGCACCCCAACGACAGCGAAGAAUCACCCACCCCGAGACACACUCCACUCUGACGGGUACACAGAAUACCACCCUGGAGGCGUCUGUGUUUGUAUAGUACUGCACCUCCUUACAGUGCUAAAUCCACCCACUUCUUUCCACAGCCUAUGGAAAUACCAGUAAUGUAAUUCUGCAGACCCCAUGCGCUAAUGUGCUGCAAUGAUUCCGAGGUCUGUGGCUGCUCCCGAGGUGAGCGCUUGCAGUUUGCUGUACAGUUUUCAGCUGUGAUUUCAGAGCCUCCGGUGCCACUGUCAACCUCUGUUCCUCUUCAAGUGGGCUCACUUCCAGUUUCCAUUUCUAAUUCAUUCUUCCAGUAACAAUUAGGACACGUACAGUUGACUGACUGUUAAUGUUCUUUCAUGUCCUCAACUGCUGCCAUCUCCGUCAACACCAACUCAAGGGCAGGUGCUAUCUUUGACUGUAAAUCACUGUGCAUCAGUUAUCUUGAAGCACUGGCCAAAUACUGUCCACGCAACCCUCACUAAGUAAGGUGGCAGACACUUCCAAACAUUAGGCUCUCUCUUCCUAGUCAAGGUUUUACACCUUCUAGCCCCAAAGGUCUCCAACAUUAAUCUGUCUCAUUUCCACAGCGUGGCAGUGAGAGUGACACUCAAAUAUUCCCCUAAAGGUCUACUGUCCUAACUCAGAGCUAGGGAAAUAGUGUCAGUGUUUUUUGUUUUUUUCUUUUUUCUUUUUUUUUUUUUUUGAGACGGAGUCUCGCUCUGUUGCCCAGGCUGGGG